CCUACGGGAUGCAGCAGUGAGGAAUAUUGGUCAAUGGACGAGAGUCUGAACCAGCCAAGUAGCGUGAAGGAUGACUGCCCUAUGGGUUGUAAACUUCUUUUAUAUGGGAAUAAAAUGUUCCACGUGUGGGAUUUUGUAUGUACCAUAUGAAUAAGGAUCGGCUAACUCCGUGCCAGCAGCCGCGGUAAUACGGAGGAUCCGAGCGUUAUCCGGAUUUAUUGGGUUUAAAGGGAGCGUAGGUGGAUUGUUAAGUCAGUUGUGAAAGUUUGCGGCUCAACCGUAAAAUUGCAGUUGAAACUGGCAGUCUUGAGUACAGUAGAGGUGGGCGGAAUUCGUGGUGUAGCGGUGAAAUGCUUAGAUAUCACGAAGAACUCCGAUUGCGAAGGCAGUUCACUGGACUGCAACUGACACUGAGGCUCGAGAGUGUGGGUAUCAAACAGGAUUAGAUACCCCUGUAGUC
This 460-nucleotide ribosomal RNA is filed under the name uncultured bacterium. RNAcentral describes it as "partial 16S ribosomal RNA". It matches the Rfam family "Bacterial small subunit ribosomal RNA", at positions 338 to 795 of the family's 1533-position model. The record is from RNAcentral.